GCUUACGAUAACGAGAGUGGAGCGAGUGAGAUCUGGAUCUGGAUCUGAAGAGAGCAGUACACACUCUCAUCUAUAACUAUUAUAUUUCAUGGCUGCUCCUAAUCCUACUCCCUUGCUGUCUCAAUGUGACAGGAGCGAGCAGGAGCCGAUCGUCUUGUGUGUAUACAUAACAGAAAGAACACGAAAAAGUUAUGGAUUUUGACACGAACAUCUUAAGAAAUGUUGAUGCAGAUGGAAAGUUACAAUGGACUGAAGUAAUAACAACAUUAUUGUUGUCAGAAAUUGAUUGUCGUCAAAAAGAUUUUAACACACAACCAAGAAUGUAUGGAAACGAAUUUGUGCUACCAUAAAUGAAUUUGGAUAUAAUAUAACAGCAGAAUAGUGUUGUUCAAAAUGGAAAAGUUUGAGGAAAAAGUACAAACAAAUCAAGGAUAACAAUCGUAAGGGCGCGGCAAUGCAACAGUGGGUCCACUUUGAGACUUGAUAAUAUUUUAAAAUUAGGCCAGAAAUUAACCUAGUAUCAUUUUCUUCAAAUAUUAAUGGAUUUCAUAUCCGCGAAAUUGAAGAAGUUGGAAAUAAUGAUAUUAAUGAAAAUGAAAAUGUUAAUGUUAAUGGAAAUGAUGUUAAUGAAACUGUUAAUGAAAAGAGUAGGACAAAUGUAGGAUCGAUAAAUAGAAAUGCAAUUAACAAUAUACCAAUUUAUAGAAGAAGGUCAAGAUUAGAACCAUAUUCGUUCGCGAAAUACCGCGAACAAAAAAAACGACACCAUCAACGAGAUUAUUUACAAAAAGAACGUUUUUUGAAUAUUCUUGUAGAACAUAAAAUCAACUUACAAAAAUAACAUUUUUGCGGAUAUGCAAUUAGCGUUGGAAGUUUUCCGUUUUUCUUUGUGAAAUAGAAAUUUAAAAAAUCAUCUAUUAAUAUUUUACGCAUACAUUACGCAUAUAUUUUACAGCAUACGCGCGAAUUACAUUUAAUAACAAUACAUUUAAUUACAACAGUUAAGUUACUAACUAAGUUAACAGUUUAUUAGGUUUAUUAGUCAUUAGAUUAUUAGUUAAAUACUAAAUACUGGGAAUUGAGAGUCUAAAUUUAUGGUAAGAAUAGGGUUUUUACAGGGCCAUAUUUUGGUAAAAAAAUCAGGCCUGUAUCUCUAGCCGUUUAGGAGAUAUCGAAGGUUAAAGUUUUCCAAACUCUACCAUCGAUAUCUCCGCUUCUACUGGGAGCUGAGAGUAGAAAGUUAUAGUGGGUGGUAGGGUUUUUACAGCCCUAUAUUUUGGUGCAAAAAACAGGCCUGUAUCUCUAGCCGUUUAGGAGAUAUCGAAGGUUAAAUUAUUCCAAAUUAUACCGUUGAUGUCUCCGCUUCUACCGGGAGUUGAAAGUAGAAAGUCAUGGUGGGUUGUAGGGUUUUUACAGCACUAUAUUUUCGUGCAAAAAACAGGCCUGUAUCUCUAGCCGUUUAGGAGGUAUCGCAGGUUAAAAUUUUCCAAUUUAUACUGUUGAUAUCUCCGCUUCUACUGGGAGUUGAGAGUAGAAAGUUAUGGUGGGUUGUAGGGUUUUUACAACACUAUAUUUUGGUGCAAAAGACAGACCUGUAUCUCUAGCCGUUUAGAAGAUAUCGAAGGUUAAAGAUUUCCAAAUUAUACCGUUGAUAUCUCCGCUUCUACUGGGAGUUGAGAGUAGAAAGUUAUGGUGGGUUGUAGGGUUUUUACAACACUAUAUUUUGGUGCAAAAUACUGGCCUGUAUCUCUAGCCAUUUAGGAGAUAUCGAAGGUUAAAGAUUUCCAAUUUGUACCGUUGAUAUCUCCGCUUCUACUGGGAGUUGAGAGUAGAAAUGUAUGGUGGGUUGUAUGGUUUUUACAACACUAUAUUUUGGUGUAAAAAACAGGCCUGUAUCUCUAACCGUUUAGGAGGUAUCGCAGGUUAAAAUUUUCCAAUUUAUACUGUUGAUAUCUCCGCUUCUACUAGGAGUUGAGAGUGGAAAGUUAUGGUGUGUUGUAGGGUAUUUACAGCACUAUAUUUUGGUGCAAAAAACAAGCCAGUAUCUCUAACCGUUUAGGAGAUAUCGAGGGUUUAAGUUUUCCAACUUGUACCGUUGAUAUAUCCGCUUCUACUGGGAAUUGAGAGUCGAAAUUUAUAGUGAGAAUAGUGUUUUUGCAGGACUAUAUUUGAUGCAAAAACAGGCCUGUAUCUCUAGCCGUUUAGGAGAUAUCGAAGUAUUCCAAAUUGUACCGUUGAUGUCUCCGCUUCUACCGGGAGUUGAGAGUAGAAAGUUGUGGUGGGUUGUAGGGUUUUUACAGCACUACAUUUUGGUGAAAAAAACAGGCCUGUAUCUAGCCGUUUAGGAGAUACCGAAGGUUAAAAUUUUCUAAACUGUACCGUUGAUAUCUCUGCUUCUAUUGGGAGUUGAGAGUAGAAAGUUAUGGUGGGUUGUAGGGUUUUUACAGCACUAUAUUUUCGUGCAAAAAACAGGCCUGUAUCUCUAGCCAUUUAGGAGAUAUCGAAGGUUAAAUAUUUUCAAAUUGUACCGUUCAUAUCUCCGCUUCUACCGGGAGUUGAGAGUAGAAAGUUGUGGUGGGUUGUAGGGUUUUUACAGCCCUAUAUUUUGGUGCAAAAAACAGGCCUGUAUCUCUAGCCGUUUAGGAGGUAUCGAAGGUUAAAAUUUUCCAAUUUAUACCGUUGAUAUCACCGCUUCUACUGGGAGUUGAGAGUAGAAAGCUAUGGUGGGUUGUAGGGUAUUUACAGCACUAUAUUUUAAUGCAAAAAACAGGCCUGUAUCUUUAGCCGUUUAGGAGAUAUCGAAAGUUAAAGUUUUCCAACUUGUACCGUUAAUAUCUCCGCUUCUACUGGGAAUUGAGAGUCGAGAUUCAGGGUGAGAUUAGGUUUGGUACAGGACUAUAUUGUGAAAGAUAAACGUGUCUGUGUCUUGAGCCGUUUAGGAUAUGCCGAAGGUUACAUAUUUAAGUUUUAAUUAUAUUUUAAUUUAAUUUUUAAAUUUUAAUGUUGAUAUCUUGGUUUCUAGUGGGAAUGUUCCCUUGGUUUCUAGCGGAAUGUUCCCGAGAAGCGCUUUUGACAUAAACGCUGGUUAUAAACAAACCAGACUCGCUCGGGCCUCGUCGCGGUAUCGUUGUCGCGAAAAAUAAGUAAAAAAGGAGAUAAACAUCUGCACCGUUGCGAAAAGAGGGGGAGGGGGCGAUGGCACCCAUUCGCGAAUAGAAUGUUAGAUCAUUGCGAACGUGAGCGUCAAAUUCCAUCGCGGCUGCGAACGUCUUCCAACCCGUUUCCUCGCGGAAACGGCUCAAGAUAUAGGAACGAGCUUUUGCCACAAUAUAGUCCUAUCUCAACCCUAUUCUCACAAUAAAUCUCGACUCCCAAUUCCCAGUUUAAACUGGGAAUUGGGAUUCGGUUUUCUCGAUUGUUUGCGCAAUUUCAAGUGGCCAUAAUAUAUGGCGAUAA
Molecule: long non-coding RNA, 3456 nt
Filed under: Harpegnathos saltator (Jerdon's jumping ant)
Lineage: Eukaryota; Metazoa; Arthropoda; Insecta; Hymenoptera; Formicidae
Description: uncharacterized LOC112588136
Source: RNAcentral